UUUGAUCCUGGCUCAGGACGAACGCUGGCGGCAGGCUUAACACAUGCAAGUCGAGCGAAGACUUCGGUCUUAGCGGCAGACGGGUGAGUAACGCGUGGGAAUCUACCCAUCCCUACGGAAUAGCUCCGGGAAACUGGAAUUAAUACCGUAUACCGCUUCGGGGGAAAGAUUUAUCGGGGAUGGAUGAGCCCGCGUUGGAUUAGCUAGUUGGUGGGGUAAAGGCCUACCAAGGCGACGAUCCAUAGCUGGUCUGAGAGGAUGAUCAGCCACAUUGGGACUGAGACACGGCCCAAACUCCUACGGGAGGCAGCAGUGGGGAAUAUUGGACAAUGGGCGCAAGCCUGAUCCAGCCAUGCCGCGUGAGUGAUGAAGGCCCUAGGGUUGUAAAGCUCUUUCAACGGUGAAGAUAAUGACGGUAACCGUAGAAGAAGCCCCGGCUAACUUCGUGCCAGCAGCCGCGGUAAUACGAAGGGGGCUAGCGUUGUUCGGAAUUACUGGGCGUAAAGCGCACGUAGGCGGAUCGGUUAGUUGGGGGUGAAAUCCCAGGGCUCAACCCUGGAACUGCCUCCAAUACCUGCCGGUC
Molecule: ribosomal RNA, 583 nt
Filed under: alpha proteobacterium GWS-SE-H244
Lineage: Bacteria; Pseudomonadati; Pseudomonadota; Alphaproteobacteria
Description: bacterial SSU rRNA
Rfam family: Bacterial small subunit ribosomal RNA
Source: RNAcentral